CCAAUUGGGCCAUAUUUGACGGCACGCCGAUGGAAGAACCACCGCAAGCAGCCAUGGCGUCGGAGGCCGGCGCCGGCGUCGACGCCGACGCGUACCGCAUCCGGCUGCUCGAGCUCGGCGACCUCUCCAGGGGCUUCUGCGACCUCCUCGCGCAGCUCUCCCCCUCCGAGCCCCUCACCGAGGACUCCUUCCGCUCCCGCUUCGCCGAGCUCGCGGCCCUCGGCGCCGACCACCUCGUCCUCGUCGCCGAGGACGCCGGCACGGGCCGCAUCGUCGCCGCGGGGGCGGUGCUGGUGGAGCGCAAGUUCAUCCGGCGCUGCGGCACCGUGGGGCACGUCGAGGACGUGGUGGUGGACGCCGCCGCGCGCGGCCGGGGGCUCGGGGAGCGCGUCGUGCGCCGCCUCGUGGACCACGCGAGGGCGAGGGGGUGCUACAAGGUUAUACUGAACUGCACACCGGAGCUGAGGGGGUUCUACGCCAAGUGCGGAUUCGUGGAGAAGAACGUCCAGAUGGGGCUCUACUUCUGAUCCGCCUCCUCGGAUCUCUUCCUGCUUGAAUUUCGUGGUGGUCUUCUACAUCAUGUGGCACUCGUCUUUCCCCACCAAAAAAAAAAGGGAAAAGAAAAAAAUUGGUGCUAUUUGAGUUGGAGGAUGGUCUUACUGUGUUGGGGUGGUUGAUGCACAAAAGGCUGUGGUGGUUUUUUUAAAUUCAGAGUGUGUAGCUGGCCGGAAGAGUAUGCAUUAUAUUGUCAACAACAACAACACCAACAACGACAAAGCAAUUAGUCCCAAACAAUUCGGAGAGUGCAUGCAUUACUGUCGAAGAGUGAAAAAUUUCUGGAGCGAGGCUUCUGAUAUGAUAUUCAUACUGCCUCGCCUUUUCUGCUUAAAAAUGUUAUUCGGAGA
RNA transcript from Hordeum vulgare subsp. vulgare (domesticated barley), 905 nucleotides. It is a transcript of the gene named glucosamine 6-phosphate N-acetyltransferase 1-like, with no coding region annotated. The transcript is spliced from 3 exons. Lineage: Eukaryota; Viridiplantae; Streptophyta; Magnoliopsida; Poales; Poaceae. The record is from RefSeq and is a predicted model, not a curated record.